This 235-nucleotide ribosomal RNA is filed under the name uncultured bacterium. RNAcentral's name for it is "partial 16S ribosomal RNA". It matches the Rfam family "Bacterial small subunit ribosomal RNA", at positions 335 to 587 of the family's 1533-position model. The record is from RNAcentral.
ACGCCUACGGGGGGCAGCAGUGGGGAAUAUUGCACAAUGGGGGAAACCCUGAUGCAGCGACGCCGCGUGAGUGAAGAAGUAAUUCGUUAUGUAAAGCUCUAUCAGCAGGGAAGAAAAUGACGGUACCUGAGUAAGAAGCCCCGGCUAACUACGUGACAGCAGCCGCGGUAAUACGUAGGGGGCAAGCGUUAUACGGAUUUACUGGGUGUAAAGGGAGCGAAGACGGAAGUGCAAG